RNAcentral lists this ribosomal RNA (131 nucleotides) under Reyranella sp. Its description in RNAcentral is "partial 16S ribosomal RNA". It matches the Rfam family "Bacterial small subunit ribosomal RNA", at positions 1 to 141 of the family's 1533-position model. Lineage: Bacteria; Pseudomonadati; Pseudomonadota; Alphaproteobacteria; Hyphomicrobiales; Reyranellaceae. The record is from RNAcentral.
AAACUUGAGAGUUUGAUCCUGGCUCAGAACGAACGCUGGCGGCAGGCUUAACACAUGCAAGUCGAACGCGUGUAGCAAUACACGAGUGGCGCACGGGUGAGUAACGCGUGGAUAUCUGCCUUUUGGUUCGG